RNAcentral lists this ribosomal RNA (310 nucleotides) under lignin enrichment culture E-38. Its description in RNAcentral is "bacterial SSU rRNA". It matches the Rfam family "Bacterial small subunit ribosomal RNA", at positions 938 to 1249 of the family's 1533-position model. The record is from RNAcentral.
CAUGUGGUUUAAUUCGAUGAUACGCGAGGAACCUUACCAGGGCUUAAAUGUAGAUUGACAGGACUAGAGAUAGUUUUUCCUUCGGGCAAUUUACAAGGUGCUGCAUGGUUGGUCGUCAGCUCGUGCCGUGAGGUGUCAGGUUAAGUCCUAUAACGAGCGCAACCCCUGUUGUUAGUUGCCAGCGAGUAAUGUCGGGAACUCUAACAAGACUGCCGGUGCAAACCGUGAGGAAGGUGGGGAUGACGUCAAAUCAUCACGGGCCUUACGUCCUGGGCUACACACGUGCUACAAUGGUAGGUACAGAGGGCAG